Molecule: long non-coding RNA, 891 nt
Organism: Rhinolophus ferrumequinum (greater horseshoe bat)
Lineage: Eukaryota; Metazoa; Chordata; Mammalia; Chiroptera; Rhinolophidae
Exons: 3
Source: RefSeq, a predicted model, not a curated record
AGCAGGGUUGCAGGUCCGGGCUCAGGCAGCCCCGGUUUUCCAGAGCGUCCUAAUGACCCAGAUGUGCUGCUGCAGAGAGAUGACUGCUUUGGGAACUGCAAAUCACCGGCCCCUGGCGGCCCCUCCCUUGGACAGGGGCUGGACCGAGGGAGGACAGGCCUGUGGCCUGGCUGGAGCUUCUUGACCCCAGUCAGGAGAGGCGAACCGUAACGGUGGGCUCCCAUCCUCCUGUACGAGGCUUGCUUGGACUGAUGGAAUCCCAAAUCAGGAAGCACCUUUAGGAAUCUUCCAGCCCAUGGGGGGAAAUGUGUGUGCGCACCUGUGCGUAUAUGCACACAUGAUUCAGAGCACCAAAUGUCAGAAGACUGUGACUCGGGGGUCACCUGGCCACAUUUGCAGCAGCCCCACAUGCUGACUGCUGGCAGCCAGGUCCCCGCAUUUGCUCAGACGCCCAAACUUCUGGCUGUGCCCUCAUUCGUCAGCCCGAAAGCCCAGGAACAUCUCGUGACCCACCUUGGGAGAAAGCUGAGCAGAGAAGGCAGAGCAAGAGCCUGCCCAAUGGUGAGCCAGGCGCCCUUGAGCCCGGUAAUGACCUGGGACCCUCAGCCGCUUCCCCUGUCAACUUGGCAGAGAGGAAGCCAGACAAGUCAGGGAGAGCACCGGGCACGCUGCUGGUUCCCCGGGCCUGUGUGUCCCCUCCUCUCCAGAGACAGGCUGACUUGCCCAGCCCAGAUCAUCUGACAGGCCAGACAAAUAAGGGCAUGUGGCCCAAUUCACUCUGUGGACCACCUUGCAGUUUGGGGCUCUCGUGGGGAUAUGAAGCAUUUGGAAACUCUCCCCCCGUCCUCCCCACCAUCCUUCUCCCUUCCAAGGCAGGAUCUGGCCUCUUGA